AGCUUUGCACAGUGGCAGUAUCGUAGCCAAUGAGGUUUAUCCGAGGGGCGAUUAUUGCUAAUUAAAUAGUUUUUGUGUCAGGGGCUUACAUAAACGUAUACUUUUUAUUAAUAUUCUUGAAUUGUAUUUGAAUUU
Molecule: small nuclear RNA, 135 nt
Organism: Neogale vison (American mink)
Lineage: Eukaryota; Metazoa; Chordata; Mammalia; Carnivora; Mustelidae
Product: U4 spliceosomal RNA
Exons: 1
Source: RefSeq, a predicted model, not a curated record